UUUUUUUUUUUUUUUUUUUUUAGAUAUGGGGGAACUUAGGUGCCAUAAAAGAUUAUAAACCCAGGCUUCCUUUCUAAACAUUUGGAAUAUCUUUCCGAAACGUCCUGCAGUGCACCUCCAUCAUUUUGUUGGGGUCAAGCAAAUGUUAUCAUAGGACACUCUAAAUAUCUUAAUUGUCAGAGAUCUUUAACAUCACUUGUGUUGCCUGGGAGAGCUUGCCGGGAGCCCGCUGGUCACAAUGGGAGCCUAACUCAUGGCAGUGGCCGUGCGGGUGCCACUCCCACAGGUGCCGGGAGGGACGGGAGCCACCCCACUGCUCAGGGAGACCUUGGGCAAGUCUCCUAACAUGCACAGACCCGGUUUCCUGAGAGGAACGGACGGUGGUUUAGACCAGCUGUGGUUAAGAGGUCACACUUUUCCAGGUUUUAGGGAACAUGUGCACAUCUUGCUGGGCCCCUGCCUGUGUGUUCUCACCAUGAAACAUGUCUCCGUGGUGGUCUUCCCAUGCUUACCUUCCAGACCACAGACCAGUUGUGUGGGGCGUUCUCUGGCCCUGUCACUACAAGUCCCUGUACUCCGCUCAGGAUCUCCACCAGGAGGCUCCCGUUUGAGGAGUCAAGGUGAACGUUGUUGCUGAGCCAAGGAGAUUAACAGAGGUGCCAAAGAAGGUGCAUUUGCAGGGCGUCAGGGGCUGAUGAUGUUGUGCUUGGAGAAGAAAACCAUGCAGUCAGCUGUUUCUCUUGUUCCUGGCCGGCAUCCAGCCUGUGAGAGCUCCACCUGCCGUCCCUGGGGAUGCCAGGUUCCCCUCUGGCUCUUUGUUUCGUUCACCCUCCUGCUGACAAAGACCUGAGGAUCCCGUGUUGAGAGGCACAGAGCACGUAUAUUGCCGUUCAGCACUUCCUGUUUUUGAAUCCAGUGGGGAAGCGUGGAGGAGUGUUCCCAGGGCUCUGCCUCCAGAACCCAAAUCCAGCAGACACAGGGAGACACUCCUCCCUGGGGAGUGUCAGUCACCUGUGGGGGUGACCAUGGCCUGAAGGACACGCUGAGGUGACGUGAUCUGUACACACAGUCGCUUUCCUGUCUUAGUGUCUCUGAGGACCUGCUGUGCACUUGGGUAUACCUGCCAUGUGACUGUUACCACUUACUUCCUUUUGUAAAUCAGAUCAUAAAUUCACUUUGAGAAUUUUUCAUUUAUAAAAGGAACCAGUAGUAA
This is a long non-coding RNA of Neofelis nebulosa (Clouded leopard), 1213 nucleotides long. RefSeq lists it as uncharacterized. Lineage: Eukaryota; Metazoa; Chordata; Mammalia; Carnivora; Felidae. The record is from RefSeq and is a predicted model, not a curated record. The transcript is spliced from 4 exons.